RNAcentral lists this ribosomal RNA (312 nucleotides) under Parakneria sp. 'R.Malagarassi'. RNAcentral's name for it is "partial small subunit ribosomal RNA". It matches the Rfam family "Bacterial small subunit ribosomal RNA", at positions 868 to 1346 of the family's 1533-position model. Lineage: Eukaryota; Metazoa; Chordata; Actinopteri; Gonorynchiformes; Kneriidae. The record is from RNAcentral.
UCCGCCAGGAACUACGAGCGCUAGCUUGAAACCCAAAGGACUUGGCGGUACCUUAGAUCCACUUAGAGGAGCCUGUUCUAGAACCGAUAAUCCACGUUUAACCUCCCCACUUCUUGUUUACUCAGCCUAUAUACCGCCGUCGUCAGCUUACCCCGUGAGGGACAAAUCAGUAAGCAGAAUUGGUAUUACCCAAAACGUCAGGUCGAGGUGUAGCAUAUGAAGUGGAAAGAAAUGGGCUACAUUUUCUAAAGAAGAAUACUACGGAAGGCACCAUGAAACAAGUGCCCAAAGGCGGAUUUAAUAGUAAAAAGG